Molecule: ribosomal RNA, 413 nt
Filed under: uncultured bacterium
Lineage: Bacteria
Description: bacterial SSU rRNA
Rfam family: Bacterial small subunit ribosomal RNA
Source: RNAcentral
CAUCCAGAGAACUUUCCAGAGAUGGAUUGGUGCCUUCGGGAACUCUGAGACAGGUGCUGCAUGGCUGUCGUCAGCUCGUGUUGUGAAAUGUUGGGUUAAGUCCCGCAACGAGCGCAACCCUUAUCCUUGUUUGCCAGCGAGUAAUGUCGGGAACUCCAGGGAGACUGCCGGUGAUAAACCGGAGGAAGGUGGGGACGACGUCAAGUCAUCAUGGCCCUUACGAGUAGGGCUACACACGUGCUACAAUGGCGCAUACAGAGGGCGGCCAACUUGCGAAAGUGAGCGAAUCCCAAAAAGUGCGUCGUAGUCCGGAUUGGAGUCUGCAACUCGACUCCAUGAAGUCGGAAUCGCUAGUAAUCGUGGAUCAGAAUGCCACGGUGAAUACGUUCCCGGGCCUUGCACACACCGCCCGU